UUGCCUCGAUGCGUGCUCCGCAUCCGUCCCGUCGCCACUGCUUUUGCAACAGCGCCGGCUCGCUGUGCUUCUGUCCUUCGCCAUAGCGCCCAUGCCGCUGCUUUUCAUUUUACUACAUAUAUGGAGCACCUUCACUCGUCUCUUCCUCUUUCCCUCCGCCUGGUACUCGGCGCAAGUGCCUUUCUCCUCCUCGACUCCGUCGCCGUGAUCUGCUACGUAGCAGAAGGGCAGGCACGCGCAGAUCCUCUGGCUGUCCUGUCGGCCUCUUCUGCAGCUGUUCCAGUUGCAGUGCUUUUGGACACGAGCACCACCAGCUAUGGAGGCCCGCUUUUGGAAACUGAGGAUCGCUUUUGGGAACUAUCCCAGUUCAUCUAG
Molecule: unclassified non-coding RNA, 375 nt
Filed under: Zea mays
Lineage: Eukaryota; Viridiplantae; Streptophyta; Magnoliopsida; Poales; Poaceae
Description: misc RNA Zm00001eb273210
Source: RNAcentral